CACGUAGGGGGCGAGCGUUGUCCGGAUUUAUUGGGCGUAAAGAGCUCGUAGGUGGUUUGUCGCGUUGUUCGUGAAAACUCACAGCUUAACUGUGGGCGUGCGGGCGAUACGGGCAGACUGGAGUACUGCAGGGGAGACUGGAAUUCCUGGUGUAGCGGUGGAAUGCGCAGAUAUCAGGAGGAACACCGGUGGCGAAGGCGGGUCUCUGGGCAGUAACUGACGCUGAGGAGCGAAAGCGUGGGGAGCGAACAGG
This 253-nucleotide ribosomal RNA is filed under the name uncultured bacterium. RNAcentral describes it as "partial 16S ribosomal RNA". It matches the Rfam family "Bacterial small subunit ribosomal RNA", at positions 524 to 776 of the family's 1533-position model. The record is from RNAcentral.